GACGAACCGUGCAAACGUUGUUCGGAAUCACUGGGCUUAAAGGGCGCGUAGGCGGCUGACCAAGUCCGGGGUGAAAUCCUGCAGCUUAACUGUAGAAGUGCCUUGGAUACUGGUUGGCUCGAGGGAGAUAGGGGUCUGUGGAACUGCUGGUGGAGCGGUGAAAUGCGUUGAUAUCAGCAGGAACGCCGGUGGCGAAAGCGACGGACUGGAUCUUUUCUGACGCUGAGGCGCGAAAGCUAGGGGAGCAAACGGG
This 253-nucleotide ribosomal RNA is filed under the name uncultured bacterium. RNAcentral's name for it is "partial 16S ribosomal RNA". It matches the Rfam family "Bacterial small subunit ribosomal RNA", at positions 524 to 776 of the family's 1533-position model. The record is from RNAcentral.